This 332-nucleotide ribosomal RNA is filed under the name uncultured bacterium. Its description in RNAcentral is "bacterial SSU rRNA". It matches the Rfam family "Bacterial small subunit ribosomal RNA", at positions 568 to 898 of the family's 1533-position model. The record is from RNAcentral.
CGCGUAGGUGGUUCGAUUAGUCGGAGGUGAAAGCCCUCGGCUCAACCGAGGAUCCGCGUCCGAUACUGUCGAACUUGAGUGCAGGAGAGGAGAGCGGAAUUCCCAGUGUAGCGGUGAAAUGCGUAGAUAUUGGGAGGAACACCGGUGGCGAAGGCGGCUCUCUGGACUGCCACUGACACUGAGGCGCGAAAGCUAGGGGAGCAAACGGGAUUAGAUACCCCGGUAGUCCUAGCCGUAAACGAUGGGCACUAGGUGUGGGAGGUAUCGACCCCUUCCGUGCCGCAGCUAACGCAUUAAGUGCCCCGCCUGGGGAGUACGGCCGCAAGGUUGAA